AUUUAACUGAAUCUACUAGAUAUAAAUCCAUCUUUAUAAUUUUGUAAUGUCUGAUCUUAUAAAUACCCACCUGAGGUUUCUGCAUAUUAGUUUCCUUUUAUGAGGCUAGUCUGGGCUGACCUUGGAUUACUGGUGUCUUGCUUCAGCCUCCAAAGAGCUAGGAUUACAGGCAUAGACUAUCAUUCCCAGCUAAAUGCCUUCAUAGGAGUAUGCUUGUAUGCAGAUAUUUGCAGUCAGGAGCACUAAGUUUGGGGCUGUGUUUUUUAAUUUCAUUUAUAAAAUAUGUCUCCAUUUUUGUAUGUCUUAGAUCUAUAAUAUUUCUUUUGUUUUAUAGUUAUAUAUGUUUUUUUAAAGAAAAAUAUGCUUUGAAAUUUGGACAGAAGGGCAGGCUUGCCAAUGAGUUAAUGUUCUGUAUUACAAUAUAAGGAAAAGAAUGCCAACUUAAGGUUGUGCUCUGGUUUCAAGUUUGAUUCCUUUGUGUAGUAUGUACACAGAGGUUGUGGUUAAAAUGUUUAACUCAGAAGAGCCUUAGUUGUGUAUCUGAAAAUGAGUGGUAGUGCCCACAGGACUUGUGAGUAUGCAGUGAGAUGGUCACUGCAGUGCCUCACAGCUCCUCAUAAAGCAGGUUACACCAGGUAAGCACUGCCAGCGCAAGCCCAUGGGCACCUGCACAAGAGGUGCGCUGGGCAAUGUCUCUGCUCAAGGUGAGGCUGUAAUGACCUCUUGUAGCCUCCUAACAAUGUUUCCUCCUUACAGUUACUGAAGUUAAAUACAGCGUUCUUCUUUUCUUACUAUUUAUACUUGUCUUACUUGUUUCAAAAAAUGUAGGUGAGUAACUUCUUUUUUUUUUUUCUUUUUUCCCAAGACAGGGUCUUGCUAUGUAGCCCGGGCUGGCCUGGAAUCGCUAUAUUGCCCAAGCUGGCCUGGAACUCAAGAUCCUCCUGCCUCAGCUUCAUGAGUGCUGAGAUUACAGGCGUGCGCCACCACGCCCGGUUUAGGUGAGUAACUCUUAAUUAAGUACUGCAACAAGUUAUUUUCUUAAUUUGAUUUACCUUAACAUCAGCAUAAACAUUUAAGAUUAUAUCACAAAAGAUUUAAGUUACUUCCUUUCCUAUAAAAAUGACAAAGUAAAGUACAUUUCAUAAUAAAAGUGCAGUGCACGUUUAGACUGGCUUUAAUCUCCACCAUUAAAGGAAGCAAAGAAGCAAGAAAGGGAGGGGGGAUAAGUAAUGACAUCACUCUAAAAUACCUGAAUUAUGCUAUUAUGUGCAUAAUUUUAACAGAUAACUUCAAUGUCCUAUGACUAGUUACUGUAAGCAAAUUAUGUAAAUCUUUAUAAUGAGAAUAGUAUGAAAUCAAACAGCUCACAGUAAUUAUAGUGCUUUAUGCAAGGAAGAGAGGGAUCUUUUUAAUAAGACAAGAAAGGAAACCAAAUAAUAUACCAGGGAUUUGCACUUCAGAUAAAACUAGUUGUGCCUGCACAUGACCGAUACCAGAAAUGAGCCAGAGAGAGUCACAAACUAGAAUAGCGUGAGACCUGGGUGAGCUUCGUGUGUGCAGUAUGUACCCUUGGAAGAGCAUUCCUAGUCCAUGUUCCUUAUUUUAAGACAAGCAGGGGCUAAGACAGAGUGUAUUAUAAAAUCAGAGACCUGAGCUGGGAGCACUGGCCGGUCCUGGGUUUGAUUCCCAGCACCCACGUGGUGCCUCAGAGCUGUCUGUAACUCCACUUCCAAGGGAUCCAUCCUCUUCCUGCUUCUGUGAGCAUCAGGAAGAUAUGCAGACAUAAGUGCAGGCAAAACACCCACACAUAUAAAAUAAAUUUUAGAAUUUAAGAAAGGCCAUUACUUUAUUUUUUAAAAAAAGACCAUUUACUUCCUACCCUGAAGGUAGGUCCUUGAAGCUGUGAACAGUAUUCUAGUAGAAUAAGCAGGCUUGAGAGGGAAGUUAUAUGGGGUUCUAAUCAAAAUUAAAAGCUUGGAAUUUAUUUGGGUCCCCCUGUAUUAACUAAUAAAUACAAUAGAGCUAUGGUUCUGAUCUGUAAUUAUCAAUGGAGGUUUAUGUAAACAUCUCAUAUGGUUGGAAGAUAUGUAUUUAGCAUGAUUUCCAUGCCUUACAGUCUACCCCAAUAAACCUGCAGAUAAAAUAUCUGUGAGUUUACACAUGUGUGUAUCCUUUUCUGUCCCUUCCCUUAUAUCCUGUCUCCACACCCUCCUCAGCCCUCCCCUACAUCAAAGCUUGUGGUCCUUUUCCAUCUGUGUACUAAAAGGUUCCUUUGUAAAGCAGGCCAUUUGUCCGUCAUUGUUUGGGGUGCAAACAGUGGUAAGAUACCCUGUCACUGAUCCGUGUGCUGUGAAUGGCAGCUCCUCUCUGGACAGUUGGUGGGGGGCUGAGGAUAUUCCUGAGAGGAUUAUUUAACCUUUCAAUUUAGAGGGCACAAAGCCUCGCUGAUUAAUGAACUUUCUGAUGGUUGCCGAUAAGCGGAUCUAUUGCUUUAUUUCCUCUAAAAGUGAUUCCUUCUCCUGUCCAUAUUACUAUAAUCUGAAACAUAAAUGUGGCAAAUAGAUUAAAAAACUGCACUAAAGAGUUUAUCUGGCUGGCAAACUGAAGGAGCUAAAUUAAAAUUGGUAAUGACAGCAGUGGCUCAGCCUCAUAUAUGGUUUUUAAAUGCACUGUGUAUUUUGAAGAGACUUAUUCUCCAGCUUGCCUGGUAAUGACUGCUUUUGGUGCAGUAUGGGGCUGGCUUCUGUUAUCCCCACCUCAUGCCCCCCCC
RNAcentral lists this long non-coding RNA (2770 nucleotides) under Mus musculus (house mouse). RNAcentral describes it as "long non-coding RNA chr4:44915314-44918084". Lineage: Eukaryota; Metazoa; Chordata; Mammalia; Rodentia; Muridae. The record is from RNAcentral.